UAGUCAUAUGCUUGUCUCAAAGAUUAAGCCAUGCAUGUCUAAGUAUAAAUGGAUUAUACAGUGAAACUGCGAAUGGCUCAUUAAAUCAGUUAUAGUUUAUUUGAUAAUAUCUUUUACUUGGAUAACCGUAAUAAUUUUAGAGCUAAUACAUGCGUAAAAGGGUGACUUUACAGAAACCCUGUAUUUAUUAGAUACAAAACCAAUCACGCUUGCGUGCUUCCUUGGUGAUUCAUAAUAACUAAACGAAUUGUAUGACUUUAUGUUGACGAUGAUUCAUAUAAGUUUUUGCCCUAUCAACUUUCGAUGGUAAGGUAUUGGCUUUCCAUGGUUACAACGGGUGACGGAGAAUUAGGGUUUGAUUCCGGAGAGGGAGCCUGAGAAACGGCUUCCACUUUUUCGGAGGGCAGCAGGCGCGCAAAUUUCCCCCUCCUGGCUCCGGGGGGUUGUGGCGGNUUCUUUCGGUUCGUGUCUUCGGUCUUGUUNUUUCUUCAAGGCAAUUUAAACCCCUUAA
RNAcentral lists this ribosomal RNA (511 nucleotides) under uncultured eukaryote. RNAcentral describes it as "bacterial SSU rRNA". It matches the Rfam family "Eukaryotic small subunit ribosomal RNA", at positions 21 to 537 of the family's 1831-position model. The record is from RNAcentral.